CGGAGGGGCUAGCGUUGUUCGGAAUUACUGGGCGUAAAGCGCACGUAGGCGGAUCGGACAGUUGGGGUGAAAUCCCGGGGCUCAACCCCGGAACUGCCUUCAAAACUACCGGUCUGGAGUUCGAGAGAGGUGAGUGGAAUUCCGAGUGUAGAGGUGAAAUUCGUAGAUAUUCGGAGGAACACCAGUGGCGAAGGCGGCUCACUGGCUCGAUACUGACGCUGAGGUGCGAAAGCGUGGGGAGCAAACAGGAUU
RNAcentral lists this ribosomal RNA (252 nucleotides) under uncultured bacterium. RNAcentral's name for it is "partial 16S ribosomal RNA". It matches the Rfam family "Bacterial small subunit ribosomal RNA", at positions 527 to 779 of the family's 1533-position model. The record is from RNAcentral.